RNAcentral lists this ribosomal RNA (207 nucleotides) under uncultured bacterium. RNAcentral's name for it is "partial 16S ribosomal RNA". It matches the Rfam family "Bacterial small subunit ribosomal RNA", at positions 568 to 774 of the family's 1533-position model. The record is from RNAcentral.
CAUGUAGGCGGUUGUUUAAGUCUGAUGUGAAAGCCCUGGGCCCAACCCAGGAAGUGCAUUGGAUACUGGGCAACUUGAGUACGGGAGAGGAAAGUGGAAUUUCGAGUGUAGGGGUGAAAUCCGUAGAUAUUCGAAGGAACACCAGUGGCGAAGGCGGCUUUCUGGACCGAUACUGACGCUGAGAUGCGAAAGCGUGGGGAGCAAACA